UGGUUAAAUUCAAUGUAUAUAGUCCAAUCUUUUGAAGUACUAGUACAUCAGCUCUAAGCUGAUGUGGUUGAGUAGUUCAAUAGAUUGGACUAUAUAUAUUAAAUUUGACUAA
RNAcentral lists this microRNA precursor (112 nucleotides) under Capsella rubella. Its description in RNAcentral is "MIR860 microRNA precursor family". It matches the Rfam family "MIR860 microRNA precursor family". Lineage: Eukaryota; Viridiplantae; Streptophyta; Magnoliopsida; Brassicales; Brassicaceae. The record is from Rfam by way of RNAcentral.